AUUGAACGCUGGCGGCAUGCCUUACACAUGCAAGUCGAACGGCAGCACGGGGGGUAUCCCUUGGUGGCGUGUGGCGCACGGGUGUGUAUUAUAUCGGAAUGUGUUCUGUAGCGGGCGAGGAUCUCUUGAAAGAUGGACUAAUACCGCCUACGACCUAUGGGUGCCAGAGGAGGCCCGCAAGGCUUCGCAUCUUGGUAUCGGUCGAUAACGGAUUAGCUAGUUGGUGAGGUAACGGCACACCAAGGCAACGAUCCGUAGCUGAUCUGAGAGGACGAUCAGCCACACUGGAACUGAGACACGGUCCAGACUCCUACGGGAGGCAGCAGUGGGGAAUUUUGGGCAAUGGGCGCAAGCCUGAUCCAGCCAUGCCGCGUGAGUGAUGAAGGCCUUCGGGUUGUAAAGCUCUGUCGGCGGGGACGAAACUGUUCGUGCUAAUACCACGGACUACUGACGGUACCCGCAGAAGAAGCACCGGCUAACUACGUG
RNAcentral lists this ribosomal RNA (486 nucleotides) under uncultured bacterium. RNAcentral's name for it is "partial 16S ribosomal RNA". It matches the Rfam family "Bacterial small subunit ribosomal RNA", at positions 30 to 507 of the family's 1533-position model. The record is from RNAcentral.